UACGAAGGGUGCAAGCGUUGCUCGGAAUUAUUGGGCGUAAAGGGUAGGUAGGUGGUCUCAUUUGUCAGGGGUGAAAGCCUUGGGCUUAACCCAAGAAGUGCCCCUGAAACGGUGAGACUAGAGUCUUGGAGAGGGUCGUGGAAUUCCCAGUGUAGCGGUGAAAUGCGUAGAGAUUGGGAGGAACACCAGAGGCGGAAGGCGGCGACCUGGACAAGCACUGACACUCAACUACGGAAAAGCGGAUGGGUAGCAAACAGG
Molecule: ribosomal RNA, 258 nt
Filed under: uncultured bacterium
Lineage: Bacteria
Description: partial 16S ribosomal RNA
Rfam family: Bacterial small subunit ribosomal RNA
Source: RNAcentral